This 300-nucleotide ribosomal RNA is filed under the name uncultured Streptomyces sp. Its description in RNAcentral is "bacterial SSU rRNA". The stretch from base 56 to 300 matches the Rfam family "Bacterial small subunit ribosomal RNA", at positions 551 to 795 of the family's 1533-position model. Lineage: Bacteria; Bacillati; Actinomycetota; Actinomycetes; Kitasatosporales; Streptomycetaceae. The record is from RNAcentral.
GGUGACGACGUGGUGGAGAGCGUGGGAAGGCGGAGGGGGCGAGCGGUGGCCGGGGUUAGUGGGCGGAAAGCGCGGGUAGGCUGGUCGAGAAGUCUGCUGUGAAAGUGCAGGGCUCAGCCCUGGGAUGCCGGUGGAUACGGUCGGACUAGAGUACGGAAGAGGCGAGUGGAAUUCCCGGUGUAGCGGUGAAAUGCGCAGAUAUCGGGAGGAACACCAAUUGCGAAGGCAGCUCGCUGGGACGUCACUGACGCUGAGACGCGAAAGCGUGGGGAGCAAACAGGAUUAGAUACCCGUGUAGUC